UACGGAAGGCAGCAGUGGGGAAUAUUGCACAAUGGGCGAAAGCCUGAUGCAGCUAUGCCGCGUGUAUGAAGAAGGCCUUAGGGUUGUAAAGUACUUUCAUCGGGGAGGAAAAAACAAAACUAAUAAUUUUAUUUCUUGACGUUACCCGAAAAAGAAGCACCGGCUAACUCCGUGCCAGCAGCCGCGGUAAUACGGAGGGUGCUAGCGUUAAUCAGAAUUACUGGGCGUAAAGAGCACGUAGGUGGUUUUUUAAGUCAGAUGUGAAAUCCCUGGGCUUAACCUAGGAACUGCAUUUUGAAACUGAAAUACUAGAGUAUCGUAGAGGGAGGUAGAAUUCUAGGGUGUAGCGGUGAAAUGCGUAGAUAUCUGGAGGAAUACCUGUGGCGAAAGCGGCCUCCUAAACGAAUACUGACACUGAGGUGCGAAAGCGUGGGGAG
Molecule: ribosomal RNA, 437 nt
Filed under: uncultured bacterium
Lineage: Bacteria
Description: bacterial SSU rRNA
Rfam family: Bacterial small subunit ribosomal RNA
Source: RNAcentral